This 395-nucleotide ribosomal RNA is filed under the name barley rhizosphere bacterium LJ105. Its description in RNAcentral is "bacterial SSU rRNA". It matches the Rfam family "Bacterial small subunit ribosomal RNA", at positions 19 to 444 of the family's 1533-position model. The record is from RNAcentral.
CUGGCUCAGAACGAACGCUGGCGGCAGGCUUAACACAUGCAAGUCGAGCGCCCCGCAAGGGGAGCGGCAGACGGGUGAGUAACGCGUGGGAAUCUACCCUUUUCUACGGAAUAACGCAUGGAAACGUGUGCUAAUACCGUAUGAGCCCUUCGGGGGAAAGAUUUAUCGGGAAAGGAUGAGCCCGCGUUGGAUUAGCUAGUUGGUGGGGUAAAGGCCUACCAAGGCGACGAUCCAUAGCUGGUCUGAGAGGAUGAUCAGCCACAUUGGGACUGAGACACGGCCCAAACUCCUACGGGAGGCAGCAGUGGGGAAUAUUGGACAAUGGGCGCAAGCCUGAUCCAGCCAUGCCGCGUGAGUGAUGAAGGCCCUAGGGUUGUAAAGCUCUUUCACCGGUG